CUAGAGUUUGAUCCUGGCUCAGAGCGAACGUUAGCGGCGGGCCUAACACAUGCACACUCGAACGAGAAUGAGGGCUUCGGCCCUCUAGUAAAGUGGCGGACGGGUGCGUAACACGUGGGUAAUCUACCUUCCGGCGGGGGACAACAGUCCGAAAGGAUUGCUAAUACCGCAUACGUCAGCGGCGCCUACGGGCGCUGUUGGGAAAGAUGGCCUCUCCUUGGAAGCUGUCACCGGAAGAUGAGCCCGCGGCCCAUCAGCUAGUUGGUGAGGUAAUGGCUCACCAAGGCGAAGACGGGUAGCUGGUCUGAGAGGAUGAUCAGCCACACUGGGACUGCGACACGGCCCAGACUCCUACGGGAGGCAGCAGUGGGGAAUAUUGGGCAAUGGGCGAAAGCCUGACCCAGCCACGCCGCGUGAGUGAUGAAGGCCU
This 430-nucleotide ribosomal RNA is filed under the name uncultured bacterium. RNAcentral describes it as "bacterial SSU rRNA". It matches the Rfam family "Bacterial small subunit ribosomal RNA", at positions 1 to 417 of the family's 1533-position model. The record is from RNAcentral.